AGGAAGAAAAAGUGAGGGAAGAAGUCACUUGUGAGACUGCCGCAGUUGAGAUCAUCUUCUACUUCUUCUUCUAUUCAAAGAUUAGUGGGAGCCAAUCAAAGGAGAUAGAAAAGCUAAAGGGGGAAGUAAGAACGUAUGAAAAACAAAAUGGAUGAAGUUUUCAAUUCUACCUUUAGAGAGAUGCAAGAGAAAAUGGAUUGCCUAAAGACACUAUCAAAUAUUCAGGUUGCGGGUGGCAAUAUUAACCCGGUUGAUGCAUUCUCUCCCAACCAUCGAUCAUCGAAUGCAAGUUAUGAACCUACAAGUGAAGGAAACCAUCGGACCAUCUAAAUUUUUGUAAACUAAAAACUUGUUUAAACUUUUUGUUCCUUAGUGUCUUAUUAUAUACUAUUGAAUAUAUAUUGAAUG
Long non-coding RNA from Ananas comosus (pineapple), 408 nucleotides. RefSeq lists it as uncharacterized. NCBI's taxonomy places the organism in Eukaryota, Viridiplantae, Streptophyta, Magnoliopsida, Poales, Bromeliaceae. The transcript is spliced from 3 exons. The record is from RefSeq and is a predicted model, not a curated record.